This 119-nucleotide ribosomal RNA is filed under the name Octopus vulgaris (common octopus). The record is from RNAcentral. RNAcentral also lists the same sequence under 1 other name. Lineage: Eukaryota; Metazoa; Mollusca; Cephalopoda; Octopoda; Octopodidae.
GCUUACGGCCAUAUCACGUUGAAAGCACCGGUUCUCGUCCGAUCACCGAAGUUAAGCAACGUCGAACCUAGUCAGUACUUAGAUGGGUGGCCGCUUGGGAAACCUAGGUGCAGCAAGCG